Molecule: ribosomal RNA, 253 nt
Filed under: uncultured bacterium
Lineage: Bacteria
Description: partial 16S ribosomal RNA
Rfam family: Bacterial small subunit ribosomal RNA
Source: RNAcentral
UACGGAGGGUGCGAGCGUUGUCCGGAAUCACUGGGCGUAAAGGGUGCGUAGGCGGGUCUUUAAGUCAGGGGUGAAAUCCUGGAGCUCAACUCCAGAACUGCCUUUGAUACUGAAGAUCUUGAGUUCGGGAGAGGUGAGUGGAACUGCGAGUGUAGAGGUGAAAUUCGUAGAUAUUCGCAAGAACACCAGUGGCGAAGGCGGCUCACUGGCCCGAUACUGACGCUGAGGUGCGAAAGCGUGGGGAGCAAACAGG